GUGGUAGGUGCCUUUGAACGGGGUAUGGUGGUAGGUGCCUUUGAACGGGGUAUGGUAGUAGGUGCCUUUGAACAGGGUAUGGUAGUAGGUGCCUUUGAACAGGGUAUGGUAGUAGGUGCCUUUGAACGGGGUAUGGUGGUAGGUGCCUUUGAACGGGGUAUGGUAGUAGGUGCCUUUGAACAGGGGUAUGGUAGUAGGUGCCUUUGAACAGGGUAUGGUAGUAGGUGCCUUUGAACAGGGUAUGGUGGUAGGUGCCUUUGAACAGGGUAUGGUGGUAGGUGCCUUUGAACAGGGUAUGGUGGUAGGUGCCUUUGAACGGG
Long non-coding RNA from Oncorhynchus tshawytscha (Chinook salmon), 320 nucleotides. NCBI's taxonomy places the organism in Eukaryota, Metazoa, Chordata, Actinopteri, Salmoniformes, Salmonidae. The record is from Ensembl.